RNAcentral lists this ribosomal RNA (253 nucleotides) under uncultured bacterium. Its description in RNAcentral is "partial 16S ribosomal RNA". It matches the Rfam family "Bacterial small subunit ribosomal RNA", at positions 524 to 776 of the family's 1533-position model. The record is from RNAcentral.
AACGUAGGACGCAAGCGUUAUCCGGAGUUACUGGGCGUAAAGCGCGUGUAGGCGGCCCGGUAAGUCCGCUGUGAAAGUCGGGGGCUCAACCCUCGAAUGCCGGUGGAUACUGUCGGGCUAGAGUACGGAAGAGGCGAGUGGAAUUCCUGGUGUAGCGGUGAAAUGCGCAGAUAUCAGGAGGAACACCAAUUGCGAAGGCAGCUCGCUGGGACGUCACUGACGCUGAGACGCGAAAGCGUGGGGAGCAAACAGG